Long non-coding RNA from Cavia porcellus (domestic guinea pig), 1671 nucleotides. RefSeq lists it as uncharacterized. The transcript has 3 exons. The record is from RefSeq and is a predicted model, not a curated record. NCBI's taxonomy places the organism in Eukaryota, Metazoa, Chordata, Mammalia, Rodentia, Caviidae.
GCCUGUAAUCCCAACAUUCAGGAGGAUGAGGCAGGAGGAUUACCCUGAGUUCAAGGCCAGCCUGGGCUGCAUAAUAAAUUCAAGGCCAGCCUGAUUUGCAUGGUGAGACCCUGCCUCAAAAAAACCAACAAAAAAAAAUUUUAAGAAAGAGGAAUAUAGCUCAGUGGUAGAAUACCUCUGGGUUCCACCUAUAGGACUGAAAAAUAGUUGGCAGUAAUUUUUAUGUAUAUGUUAGCAUACUUUUUGAUACACAGUCUGGCUAUGUAUUUCAGCCUGAACUCACUAGCCCAGGUUAGCCUCAAACUCACAGUGAUCCUCCUGCCUCAGCCUCUAGAGUGCUGGGAUCAUAGGCAUGCACCACCAUACUUAGCGUACCAUAAUUUUCUUUUAUAAUUUGUUAUUCAGCAUUUUAUUUUUGGCUGAAUUCAGAAGUAGAAGCUCUCAGAGAGGAAAGCCUGCGUCUCUUGGCAACUCACUCCUGGUGUUUUUUCUGGGCUUCAUUCUACUGGCCAGAAGUUCAGCAUAUUCUGCAGCCUCUUCAUUUUUCUUAGUUUGCUGCUGCUUCGGAGCAGUAUGGCGGCUGGCGUUUGUGUUGGACAUGUGGAGCGAGCAACAAGAUGCUGAAUCUUGGGGCCUUUAGUCCUGGGUUUCUUACCUUAAGGGCUUUCUGACAACAUAUUGGCAACAUCAUCUUCUUUUUUAUUUUUAUUUUUUUUUAAAUCUUUUUAUCGGUACGGGGGGAAUCGAACUCACGACUGCUUGCUUGCAAGGCAGGUGCUUAUGCCACUGAGCUAAAUCCCCAGCCCCAAACAUCAUCAUCUUUAGAGAGACUGAAACGCUUGCAGAUUCUGCUUACUCUUUUGGACCCCAGGCACAGGUUUUUUUUUUGUUGUUGUUGUUUUUUUAAUAAUAAGCAAGUUCUAAAUUCUCAGAUCGCCAUCCGCAAGGCAACCUCAGACAGAUCUAUGUGCUCUCCCAGUUCUCCUCGGUCUGUAAUAGGAUGUUCCUUGCUCAGUAACAAGCGAACUCGGCCAUGAGUCAAGACGCCCUGCUUCAUGGGGAAACCUUGUUUGUCGUUCCCACCACUGAUUGAGACCACAUAACCCUUCUGUUCUUCACCAGCAGCAACUGCUGUGGCUACACGAUUUCCAUAGGACCUAUGAAGUUUGCAUUCAUCAGAGCUCGAUAGAGCACCUCUUAAAGAACAAGCAAAGCCGUCUCACCAACUCUAGGAGGACACCAAGAACUAAGGGGUGGGCUAGGGCCCUCCUAAUGCAAACAUCAGAAUCAGACAGCAUUUGGCAGGACCAGAACCAGGUGUCCUUGUGGCUAUCCCAUUCAAGGAGAAGCUGCCAUUUAGGAGGAGGAGAGAUUGUAAAACUUGGGGAAAACUCCGGUACUGUGUACAGAAUUCUACAGCAUCCUGAACAUGGGCAUUGGCUAAUCAAUCCACAAUCCUUUGUGGAAUUUGUGGUCUUCAACAAUAAUGUGAACGUGUUCUGUGUUGUAACCCUGAUCCUGGAGUCCAUCGAUGUAGGUAAGAAGGCUUUUCUCCUCCCUGCUCUGGGUGUCCCAGAAGGCUCACUUUCUCAUGUAAACAUCUGAGCACUCAUAGCAUAUUGGUACUUUAGACAUUGUCUCUAUGGUCAUUCUAACUCGGCAAGGGCAGCA